UGGGGAAUUUUCCGCAAUGGGCGAAAGCCUGACGGAGCAAGACCGCGUGGGGGAAGAAGGCUCUUGGGUUGUAAACCCCUUUUCUCUGGGAAGAACAAAAUGACGGUACCAGAGGAAUCAGCAUCGGCUAACUCCGUGCCAGCAGCCGCGGUAAGACGGAGGAUGCAAGCGUUAUCCGGAAUGAUUGGGCGUAAAGCGUCCGUAGGUGGCAGUUCAAGUCUGCUGUCAAAGACCGGGGCUCAACCUCGGAAAGGCAGUGGAAACUGAACAGCUAGAGUAUGGUAGGGGCAAAGGGAAUUCCUGGUGUAGCGGUGAAAUGCGUAGAGAUCAGGAAGAACAUCGGUGGCGAAGGCGCUUUGCUGGACCAUAACUGACACUGAGGGACGAAAGCUAGGGGAGCGAAUGGGAUUAGAUACCCCAGUAGUCCUAGCCGUAAACGAUGGAUACUAGGUGUUGUCUGUAUCGACCCGGACAGUGCCG
RNAcentral lists this ribosomal RNA (480 nucleotides) under uncultured cyanobacterium. Its description in RNAcentral is "bacterial SSU rRNA". It matches the Rfam family "Bacterial small subunit ribosomal RNA", at positions 355 to 848 of the family's 1533-position model. The record is from RNAcentral. Lineage: Bacteria; Bacillati; Cyanobacteriota.